CUUGAUCUGUACAACAGGUUCUGGAGAACAAUGCUGUGUUCUUUUUGGGCUGCUUCAGAAGCACUACCAACAAGCAACAGGGAAGUGUGACAAAACCAAUAGCUUUAUUAACCUGAUCCACCAUAACCUGAAAAUGAGCCAAAGAAAAGAUAAGCCUAUAUAAUUGGGGUUAGGCGGCGACCACCUGGUGGUUGGAUUCUUGUGGGGCCCAGCCAGGCCCAGCCCGAGUGAGGCGAGGCCUUUCCCCAGUGGCGCCAACACCUGCAGGGGGAACAAGGGAUUGGCUAGCAGUCAGAGGCCAAGGCCUCAGCGACCUGAUCUGCCGGCACUUGGACUUGCUCGACUAAAUGUAAUAUCUGUUCUGGUGUGAUGAAAGUGACACAAUGUUCUUCACAAAGUGAUUGCAGGAACAUCAAGGAGAAAAAAACACAUCUACAGGAAGUAGGAGGCAGGAAUGAUUGGACUGGAGAGGAGAUGGCACUUAAAAUUGUUCAGGACUAUGUGAAUUAUAACUGUGUAACACAGGCACUGAGACAUUGAGACCAUUUAGUGUAGGGUAUCCUCUUUUCCACAAGAGGGAGCGCGAUUACAACUUACCCUAAAACAAUCUUCUAAAUAAAAUAUUCUAGUUCAGAAACCUUCUCAGUCUCAAUAAUCCAUAGUAGAAAACAAUAUUUUUACACAGAUAACACUGCUGAUUUCAUUGAAAACUUUGUAUAACGUUGAUUUUGGGACUGAUUUUCAGGGUGCUGUACAAAAGUGAUUGCUAAAGCAAAAAACAUUUUCAGUCAGACUCUUGGGUUUUAUUCAUGACUGUACAAUGUUUGUGGGGGGUUUUCUCCUCCAUAUGCGGUCUUCGGUUUGAUGAAUAAUGCAAGAGGCUUAUGAGAGGUCUUUGGUGCUAAGAACUGAUCUAGGUUCAGGGCAAGUGAGUAGAUGUGUCCUGUGCAUAUUGAAGGGUUGCUAACCUGAGAUCAGCAGGGAGGAUAGGAGGGUAACUGGAGAGCACCUCAGAGUCAUGGAGUGAGACAAGGCUUAUCAGGUGUCAGAGGAAGAAAAGAGCUGAGGGGAACAAGAAGAUACACACCAGGUACAUGUGAAGGAUUCAUGUGUUGAUAUGAAUUUUUGUCGUCAACUUGUCUAAGCUGAUGGUUUAGGACAAAAUGGAAGAUUGUGCUAGGGAUUACCCAAUCGAUUUUUUAUUAUUUUUGGUGUUUCAAGCUGCUCCCUCUCUCUAAAUACAGAGAGGGAGAAAAACACCAGAGAGGAAAUACUUAAAAGGAGGGGCAAGAAAGUAUUUUAAGGGGAAAAAAGGAACUGCAACUACUCCUCUGGAAGCUGAUUUGCACUCUGCACUGGCAGAUUGUGGAUUUUCUGCCCUUUCAGCGUGCCUGGGAUUUGAUUGACAUUGAUGUUACUAACCUAAGCUCUGCCUAGCUUACUGAGUGAACCCGCAGCUGGAGUUUUCUUUGCAGAAUGUCAGAAAGAAUGGAUGAAAAGGUUCUUUUCAACAAGAAGAUUCAAGUUUUUGUCAGGACUUGCCAUUUUUCUGAUCUGAAAUCUAAACCUCUCUAUAGCAGCUCCGCAUGUAGUCUCAUUGUCCUGCUGGACGGCUGACAUACAUCAAGGUCCUAACCCUUCUAUUCUCUAACAGCAAUUCUUCCAACUUUGUCCAUCUUCUAAUAAACUCUGAAGAACAGCAUCCCCCAAGGAUGAUCUUACCAACCCUGGUUCUAGCAUAUUU
Molecule: long non-coding RNA, 1744 nt
Organism: Cyprinodon tularosa
Lineage: Eukaryota; Metazoa; Chordata; Actinopteri; Cyprinodontiformes; Cyprinodontidae
Exons: 3
Source: RefSeq, a predicted model, not a curated record